Molecule: ribosomal RNA, 495 nt
Filed under: uncultured bacterium
Lineage: Bacteria
Description: partial 16S ribosomal RNA
Rfam family: Bacterial small subunit ribosomal RNA
Source: RNAcentral
GAUGAACGCUGGCGGCGUGCCUAAUACAUGCAAGUCGAGCGAACGGACGAGAAGCUUGCUUCUCUGAUGUUAGCGGCGGACGGGUGAGUAACACGUGGAUAACCUACCUAUAAGACUGGGAUAACUUCGGGAAACCGGAUCUAAUACCGGAUGAUAUUUUGAACCGCAUGGUUCAAAAGUGAAAGACGGUCUUGCUGUCACUUAUAGAUGGAUCCGCGCUGCAUUAGCUAGUUGGUAAGGUAACGGCUUACCAAGGCAACGAUGCAUAGCCGACCUGAGAGGGUGAUCGGCCACACUGGAACUGAGACACGGUCCAGACUCCUACGGGAGGCAGCAGUAGGGAAUCUUCCGCAAUGGGCGAAAGCCUGACGGAGCAACGCCGCGUGAGUGAUGAAGGUCUUCGGAUCGUAAAACUCUGUUAUUAGGGAAGAACAUAUGUGUAAGUAACUGUGCACAUCUUGACGGUACCUAAUCAGAAAGCCACGGCUAACUACG